Molecule: ribosomal RNA, 253 nt
Filed under: uncultured bacterium
Lineage: Bacteria
Description: partial 16S ribosomal RNA
Rfam family: Bacterial small subunit ribosomal RNA
Source: RNAcentral
UACGUAGGGGGCAAGCGUUGUCCGGAUUCAUUGGGCGUAAAGAGCGUGUAGGCGGCCAGGUAGGUCGGUUGUGAAAACUGGAGGCUCAACCUUCAGAGGUCGACCGAAACCAUCUGGCUAGAGUCCGGGAGAGGAGAUUGGAAUUCCUGGUGUAGCGGUGGAAUGCGCAGAUAUCAGGAGGAACACCAAUGGCGAAGGCAGAUCUCUGGGCCGUAACUGACGCUGAGGAGCGAAAGCAUGGGGAGCGAACAGG